This 253-nucleotide ribosomal RNA is filed under the name uncultured bacterium. Its description in RNAcentral is "partial 16S ribosomal RNA". It matches the Rfam family "Bacterial small subunit ribosomal RNA", at positions 524 to 776 of the family's 1533-position model. The record is from RNAcentral.
UACGUAGGGUCCGAGCGUUGUCCGGAAUUACUGGGCGUAAAGAGCUCGUAGGCGGUUUGUCGCGUCUGCUGUGAAAACUCGGGGCUUAACCCCGGGCCUGCAGUGGGUACGGGCAGACUAGAGUGCGGUAGGGGAGACUGGAAUUCCUGGUGUAGCGGUGAAAUGCGCAGAUAUCAGGAGGAACACCGGUGGCGAAGGCGGGUCUCUGGGCCGUAACUGACGCUGAGGAGCGAAAGCGUGGGGAGCGAACAGG